CAAUAGCGUAUAUUAAAGUUGUUGCAGUUAAAAAGCUCGUAGUUGGAUUUCGGAGUGGGCCAGUUGGUCCGCCGCAAGGUGUGUUACUGACUGGUUUGCUCUUCUUCGCAAAGACUGCGUGUGCUCUUCAGUGAGUGUGCGUAGGAUUUACGACGUUUACUUUGAAAAAAUUAGAGUGUUCAAAGCAGGCUAUUGCUUGAAUACAUGAGCAUGGAAUAAUGGAAUAGGACUUUGGUCCCAUUUUGUUGGUUUCUAGGGCCGAAGUAAUGAUUAAGAGGGACAAUUGGGGGCAUCCGUAUUUCGUUGUCAGAGGUGAAAUUCUUGGAUUUACGAAAGACGAACAACUGCGAAAGCACUUGCCAAGAGUGUUUUCAUUA
RNAcentral lists this ribosomal RNA (377 nucleotides) under uncultured eukaryote. RNAcentral describes it as "partial 18S ribosomal RNA". It matches the Rfam family "Eukaryotic small subunit ribosomal RNA", at positions 592 to 975 of the family's 1831-position model. The record is from RNAcentral.